Molecule: unclassified non-coding RNA, 216 nt
Filed under: soil metagenome
Description: partial contains 5.8S ribosomal RNA, internal transcribed spacer 2, and large subunit ribosomal RNA
Source: RNAcentral
AACCAUAGAAACCUGCGGAGUACCUGCGGAAGGAUCAUUACAGAGUGUAACCCCCUGUAAAAUGGGGGUACCUCCCGUCCUUUGCAGGCCCUUUAGGGUCUUUUACACUUUGCUUCGGUGGGGUAACCCACCGGAACACUCUCAAAAAAUUUUGAUUUUAAAAUUGUUCAGUCUGAGAAUUUUGAAAAUAAAAUAAAAACUUUCAACAACGGAUCU